GUACUGCUGAAGAGUCCCAAACUAGGAUGAAACAGCUGUCCAAUAC
This is a non-coding RNA of Trichobilharzia regenti, 46 nucleotides long. The record is from Rfam. NCBI's taxonomy places the organism in Eukaryota, Metazoa, Platyhelminthes, Trematoda, Strigeidida, Schistosomatidae.